GGGGAAUUUUCCGCAAUGGGCGAAAGCCUGACGGAGCAAUACCGCGUGAGGGAGGAAGGCUCUUGGGUCGUAAACCUCUUUUCUCAGGGAAGAACACAAUGACGGUACCUGAGGAAUAAGCAUCGGCUAACUCCGUGCCAGCAGCCGCGGUAAUACGGAGGAUGCAAGCGUUAUCCGGAAUGAUUGGGCGUAAAGCGUCCGCAGGUGGCUGUGUAAGUCUGCUGUUAAAGAGUCUAGCUCAACUAGAUAAGAGCAGUGGAAACUACACGGCUAGAGUACGUUCGGGGCAGAGGGAAUUCCUGGUGUAGCGGUGAAAUGCGUAGAGAUCAGGAAGAACACCGGUGGCGAAGGCGCUCUGCUAGGCCGUAACUGACACUGAGGGACGAAAGCUAGGGGAGCGAAUGGGAUUAGAUACCCCAGUAGUCCUAGCCGUAAACGAUGGAUACUAGGCGUGGCUUGUAUCGACCCGAGCCGUGCCGUAGCUAACGCGUUAAGUAUCCCGCCUGGGGAGUACGCCGGCAACGGUGAAACUCAAAGGAAUUGACGGGGGCCCGCACAAGCGGUGGAGUAUGUGGUUUAAUUCGAUGCAACGCGAAGAACCUUACCAAGGCUUGACAUGUCGCGAAUCUUGAUGAAAGUUGAGAGUGCCUUCGGGAGCGCGAACACAGGUGGUGCAUGGCUGUCGUCAGCUCGUGUCGUGAGAUGUUGGGUUAAGUCCCGCAACGAGCGCAACCCUCGUUUUUAGUUGCCAGCAUUAAGUUGGGCACUCUAGAGAGACUGCCGGUGACAAACCGGAGGAAGGUGGGGAUGACGUCAAGUCAGCAUGCCCCUUACGCCUUGGGCUACACACGUACUACAAUGCUCCGGACAGAGGGCAGCAAGCAUGCGAAUGCAAGCAAAUCCCGUAAACCGGAGCUCAGUUCAGAUCGCAGGCUGCAACUCGCCUGCGUGAAGGAGGAAUCGCUAGUAAUUGCAGGUCAGCAUACUGCAGUGAAUUCGUUCCCGGGCCUUGUACACACCGCCCGUCACACCAUGGAAGCUGGUAGUGCCCGAAGUCAUUACUCCAACCUUUCGGGGAGGAGGAUGCCUAAGGCAGGACUGGUGACUGGGGUGAAGUCGUAACAAGGUAGCCGUACCGGAAGGUGUGGCUGGAUCACCUCCUU
RNAcentral lists this ribosomal RNA (1163 nucleotides) under Nostoc sp. ATA1-4-KO10. RNAcentral's name for it is "bacterial SSU rRNA". It matches the Rfam family "Bacterial small subunit ribosomal RNA", at positions 356 to 1532 of the family's 1533-position model. The record is from RNAcentral. Lineage: Bacteria; Bacillati; Cyanobacteriota; Cyanophyceae; Nostocales; Nostocaceae.